RNAcentral lists this ribosomal RNA (492 nucleotides) under uncultured bacterium. RNAcentral describes it as "partial 16S ribosomal RNA". It matches the Rfam family "Bacterial small subunit ribosomal RNA", at positions 29 to 507 of the family's 1533-position model. The record is from RNAcentral.
AGUGAACGCUGGCGGUAGGCCUAACACAUGCAAGUCGAACGGCAGCACAGUAAGAGCUUGCUCUUACGGGUGGCGAGUGGCGGACGGGUGAGGAAUACAUCGGAAUCUACUUUUUCGUGGGGGAUAACGUAGGGAAACUUACGCUAAUACCGCAUACGACCUACGGGUGAAAGCAGGGGAUCUUCGGACCUUGCGCGAUUGAAUGAGCCGAUGUCGGAUUAGCUAGUUGGCGGGGUAAAGGCCCACCAAGGCGACGAUCCGUAGCUGGUCUGAGAGGAGGAUCGGCGACACGGGAACUGAGACACGGACCAGACUCCUACGGGAGGCAGCAGUGGGGAAUAUGGGGCAAUGGGCGCAAGCCUGAUCCAGCCAUACCGCGUGGGUGAAGAAGGCCUUCGGGUCGUAAAGCCCUUUUGUUGGGAAAGAAAAGCAGCAGGUUAAUACCCCGCGGUUCUGACGGUACCCAAAGAAGAAGCACCGGCUAACUUCGUG